AUGGAGUCCAGACUAAAACGUGUGCAGAAGGCAUGUCAUAAGAAAACAGGUCACUCCCCAGCAGUUCCAGCACAGCUCCCUAGAGCUACACAAGAAGAGAUCAUCUCCUCAAGAAGAGACCUCCCUGCUAGGACAGCAAAACUUCUGGGCCCCACGUAUUCAGUGGCAACUGUCUCAACUGGGUGUCCCAUCCGCUGCUGUGUUCCUGACUCUUUCCACCCCAGUCUUCGAGGUUCCCAGAAAACCUGCCUUCAGCAGACAUUGGAUCUGGGCCCAGCAAAGCAGGAGCUUUCGGGAGGCCCUCCAGCCCAUGACGCAGCGGAGCUAGCAGCACCUGCGCUUGGCAGGUACCACUUGGCUCUGCCGGUCGGGUGGGGUGGGGCUUCCUCUCCUCUAGCAAAUUUUCAUCUGUUUCAGUGUCUUUUCCCCUUUGCUGAGGAUUCCCCAUGGAAAAGAAGCCACUCUAGACAGUCUUGGAGGGAAGAGAGCAAACUCCUGAGCAGGAAUGGAGGUGGACCAGAGUCAGUAAGCCUUUCAGAAGACUUUGAAGGUCAGGUGCUGAGCUGAGGAAGACCUCCCGUUCCCUCAGUUUCCUUGCUCUCUCCCCGGUCCGACUACCUGGAUAGAAACUGUGCCAGUUGCAGUCAGGCCAGCGUGAGUCAUCUUCUGCCACUGUUUUCCUGGCACAAGGACUGUGCCGCUGCGUGUGGGUGGAAGCCGCGCACACAUAUGCACAAAUACGGCUCAAGCAUCACUCGGGACAAGGCCGACUUUGCAGAGCCGGGCGGCUGGAGCUGCCCCCGGUGCCCACCCCAGCUCCAGCAUGGACUGAGCAGCUCCAAGGCUCUGCACCCAUAGAGGGGGCCUCAAAUUGCCAGCCGCUGAGGGCUUUGAAAUGGUUGGACCCCCCCCCCCGAAGCCCUACACACACACCCCUUGGGUCAGAAAAUCAGGACGCUGGAGUGUUUCAUCUAGGAUAGGUUUGGGGAGAAAAGAGGACUGGGAUCUGGUGACCAGCUGUAGGGAUCAGCCAGCCAAAAUCGCUCUAGUCUCACUGCCGCUCUCCCCGCGCUGCUCUCUUCUCCCAUCCCUGCUUCAGACCCAGCGAUAGACACCAGUCCCCCCCCGCAUCCGCCUCCCCCCGCUCUUCUCUCCGCAGCCAGCCCAGGCGGGCUGGCAUCUGGCCCAGGCCUGCGGCACCUGCCUCCUCGCCAAGCACACCAGAACCCGGCAAAGCUUUCCACCCCUCUCAGCGCUGCCCGGGGUUCGGGUCAGGCAAAGGGGGGUGUUCAGCUUCAUCAGCCCCAAAGAGAGGCCAGUCCCAGGGUCCCCCCUUCCUUCCACAGCUCCUUUGGCAGCAAUAAAGCCCAGCGGCCGUAUACGCCGGAGUCGUCU
RNAcentral lists this long non-coding RNA (1395 nucleotides) under Apteryx owenii (little spotted kiwi). RNAcentral describes it as "lncRNA (ENSAOWG00000017205.1)". Lineage: Eukaryota; Metazoa; Chordata; Aves; Apterygiformes; Apterygidae. The record is from RNAcentral.